Molecule: ribosomal RNA, 498 nt
Filed under: uncultured bacterium
Lineage: Bacteria
Description: bacterial SSU rRNA
Rfam family: Bacterial small subunit ribosomal RNA
Source: RNAcentral
ACUCAAAGGAAUAGACGGGGGCCCGCACAAGCAGUGGAGCAUGUGGUUUAAUUCGAAGCAACGCGAAGAACCUUACCAGCCCUUGACAUGGUCGGACGGUUUCCAGAGAUGGAUUCCUUCACUUCGGUGACUGACACACAGGUGCUGCAUGGCUGUCGUCAGCUCGUGUCGUGAGAUGUUGGGUUAAGUCCCGCAACGAGCGCAACCCUCGCCUUUAGUUGCCAUCAUUUAGUUGGGCACUCUAGAGGGACUGCCGGUGAUAAGCCGGAGGAAGGUGGGGAUGACGUCAAGUCUUCAUGGCCCUUACGGGCUGGGCUACACACGUGCUACAAUGGUGGUGACAGAGGGCAGCUAGACCGCGAGGUCAUGCUAAUCCCUAAAAGCCAUCUCAGUUCGGAUUGCACUCUGCAACUCGAGUGCAUGAAGUUGGAAUUGCUAGUAAUCGCAGAUCAGCACGCUGCGGUGAAUACGUUCCCGGGCCUUGCACACACCGCCCGU